Callithrix jacchus (white-tufted-ear marmoset) is the source of this 12769-nucleotide non-coding RNA. The record is from RefSeq and is a predicted model, not a curated record. NCBI's taxonomy places the organism in Eukaryota, Metazoa, Chordata, Mammalia, Primates, Cebidae.
GGGCAGUGAGGGAGGCCUUGUACAUUAACUUCACAGAGCCCUCCACCUCCUGCAGCUGGACCUUGAGCUCCUCGUUCUGCUGCUCCAGUUCCUGCCGAGCGUUCUCGAUCUUCUGGGCGUGGCUGCGCUCCAGGUUCAGGCUGCUUCUCGGAACCAUCAUGCCGGAGCCCAGAAGGCUGGAGCGUCAGGACGCGGCUGAUGCUGGAGUCUGCACUGGGUGAGGCCUUCUGAACUCCCCCAUGCCUGGGCCUGCACUUGCCUGUUUGCUUCUGUGUUUCAUGUACUCAGCCAUGCACCGUUCUGCAAGUUUGCUGUUGGACUAUUGUUUCCACUCACCUCUGAGCCUGUGUCUCCAUCAGUGAGAUUGGACUGGAAGCACCCAAAACCUCCCCAAGAGGCACCACCCUGCCAGGUUCCUGCCCCAGUGCCCUGGCAUGUAGCUGGCUCAGCUGGGCACCGCCCGCCCUCACCCGCCACUUCUGCAGCUGCUCGAUGGCUUCAUCCCGGUUCUUGUUGGCUGAGUCGAUGUCAGCCUCCAGGUCCAUCUCCAGCUUCUUCCGGGCGGCCACUGCCAUGGAGUGCCACUUCCUCUCGUCCUCCAGCUCUGCCUCCAUCUCCCGCACCUGGAGGAAGGAACGCCGACAGCUUGGAAAGCUGGACCCACUCAGAGACCCUGCUCUGGCUCUGAACCCAGGUGCCUCUGCAGGAUCUGAGGGGCCUCCGGAAGCCAGUGGCGAUUACUGACUCGAAGAACUCUAAGAAGGUCCCGCUCGAACUGGAUCUUCAUGGCCUGCAGGUUGACCUCCAGCCGCAGAUUGGCGUUUUCAGUGUCCUGCAGCUCAUCCUCCAGCUCCUCCAGCUGGGUCUUCAACUCCUCCACCUGCUGCUCCAGAAGCCGCCUGGACUUCAGCUCAUGGACCUGAGCCCCAGAGAUCCCAAGUCAGGAGCAAAGAGACCGGCAGGGACCUGGGUCUGCUAGACCCGGAACGUGUGUAUGCGUUGACCCUCUGUGAUGACCCCGCUCGGGCCCCUCGCAAGGCCUGGCUGCCGGGCCCGGCACUCACCCUCUUGCCCUUGGAGCUCAUGAGGUCCUCCAUCUCCACACGGAACUGCUUGUUGAGCCGCUCCGGCUCCACUUUCUGCUCCAUGGCUUCCUCCAGGGCCCGGGCCAGCGACAGCACCUUGGUCUCCUUCUCUCCGGCCUCGGCCUUGGCCCGGUCACGCUCCUCUGCAUACUUGGCAGAGAUGGUCUUCUCCUCUGCCAGGAGCUGGGAAAGAGGGGCACCAUGAGGCUAAGCCCCACAGGCUCCCAGCUACAGCCCCCAGCAGGGCAGAGCAGCUGGACCCAGGCUAAUUUUUGUAUUCUUAGUAGAGAUGGGGUUUCACCAUGUUGGCCAGGCUGCUCUCGAACUCUUGACCUGGUGAUCUGCCCACCUCGGCUUCCCAAAGUUCUGGGCUUAUAGGCAUAUAAGCCCAUGCCCAGUCAAGAGUGCAUGCUUUAGAGUAUACAGGCCCCACAGUCUCUGCAGUAACUCAACCCCACUACCACAGCGCAACAACCAGAGAUGACACAAGAAUGACACAGUGUGUGUGUGCAUUCGGUCCAGCUUUGGUUCCCCAAAACGCAGCGGGCUGGACCCAGCCGCCGCAGUUCCAUGCUCGAUGUCUAUCCCGCCCCGGUGUUCACAUCUCUCUCAGCUUCCCGCAGAUCUUUUGGAAUAAGGAAGCAAUAUGAAUGCACAAAUAAAUGAUGUAAAUGGCAGGAAAACCAGUUCAUUAUAGAAAAUCUGAAAAAAAAACAUGAAAACCCAGAAAGGAAAAGUUCCUCCUCAACCCACUGCAUGAAGACACCCUCUUCCGCUGGCCUUCUCCCCCAGCCCCUCAACAAGCCAGAGACUAAGGGUCCUCUAAGGGCUGGCCCCACAUGACCCCUCCUGGGCAAGGUCUCGAGGGAGCCCAGGCUUUCUCUGAUGAGGCCCCCACCUUGGGCUGAGUGCCGGAAGGAGAGAAAAUGCAAAGGAUGGGGUGGAUGGCUACACACCUGGUCAAACUUCUGCUGCAGCUUCUCCAGGUGGCACGCCAUCUGGCGCUGGUGGUCCAGGACCACGAGCAGGUCGUCCCGCUCCUGCUGGGCCUGGCGCUUGGCACACUCCGCGGCUGCCAGUUCCUGCCACAAAGAUCCAGAAUGUGACCUGAAGGCAGCCACAGCCCCACAAGACCAUCCUUCCCAGCCCUGGGCACCCUCCUCUCAAGCCCUUCCCCAGCCCCACUUCCCCAGAAAGCUCUUCCUCCACGAUUCCUCUAGCUCACAGGGCUGGUGGCCCCCUAAAGUCAUAGCUUAAAAGCAUUGUAUGUUUAUAAAACUCAACUACAUUUAAGUGCUAGGAAUCAAGCCAGGUGCCAGGGUGUGUUGAUGACUAACAAGUGUCCUGGCCUAACCAGGGCAGACUACAUGGACAGAGCCACUCACUGCUGCCCCGGCCCUGUUCUGGGUAGCCAGAGCCCAGAGUCAGCUCCGGAGCCUGCAGGCAGGAGACGGCUGUACCCUGGAUGCACUCACACCCGGCAAGUUACGCUGCAGGGCACCCUCUAGACCCAGGGAACACUUCAGGACUGGCUCAGGUGCGACACGGACAGGGCAGCCACGGGAAAGCUGAGAACCUCCGUCACCAGGACACUGUCACGGUAGGAGGUGGUGGCAGCCAUGGAGCCUCAUCUGAUGUGAGGCAUUUCCCUCACACACAAUCUCAUACCAGGGAGGCCCGCUAUGUAACGGAACCCUGGAGGGAAUCCUUUUGUAACGUGAGAGCUGUCCCCAGCCAAUUCCUGGAGCUGAGUCGGACCUUAGCCCUGCCCUCUGCUGAAAGCCCUGUGCUGCCACCUGCUGGCUGCCGGGCAGCAAUGCCGCUCUCCGCUGCCGCCCCACCCACCUCCUCCAGCUGGAUCAUCUGGGCCUCCAGGCUCUUCAGGUUCCUCUCAUUCUCUUUGGCCUGGGCCAGGAUCUCCUCACGAGAGGCGCGGGUGUCAUCCAGCUCAUGCGUGCAGUCUUUGACCUGGGCCUGGGGCAGGGACAGAGGCUUGGCGCCCCACCCAGGUCCUUGGCCCUCGACCCUCCACCCCCACCCUUACACGUCAUCUCUCACACAGGGUUGUUGGCUGUGCUCUGCUCGAUAUUUAACCAACUAACCGUGGUGACAGGGAGAAAAAGCAACUGAGGACAAAAAUCUGUGUCCCAUUUCAUAACGCACACUGUUGGUCACUGUGGACACAAGCCCAGGCUGAGCUUCAUUUUCCACUUCUGUCCCCUCUGUGGGCCGGAGACCUGUGCCCACGGUGCCACCCCUAAUGCGCACCUGCUGCUUCAAACCAGUGCCCAGCCUGGCAGGUGUCCCCACCACAGGCAGGAAACACCUUUCCUUUUGUUACUCACCUCCUAUUCGUUUUAAUGCUAAAGAUUUUUGUCAAAUACUCUUUUUUUCCAUUUGCAGAUAACUCCAAAAACAGAUUCCCCAAGCCAAAGCUCAUGAACGGGUGUGUGCAGCCAGACCACAGCAGCAGAACAUGUAACAUGCCCACAGUUAGCUUUUACAGAUUCUUUUUUGCCCAGGCACAGCAGCUAACACUUUGGGAGGCCGAGGCUGUCAGAUCAGGAGGUCAGGAGUUUGAGACUACCCUGGCCAACACAGUGAACCACUGUCUCUACUAAAAAUACAAAAAUUAGCCAGGCAUGGGGACACACACCUAUAAUCCCAGCUACUCGGGAGGCUGAGGCAGGAGAAUCACCUGAACCCAGGAGGCAGAGGUUGUGGUAACACAAGAUUGCGCCACUGCACUCCAGCCUGGGCAAAAGAGCAAGACUACUAUUUUAAAUCUAGGGUUAUUCUUGCUACAUGAGAUGACAUAUCAGAGCUAUUUUUAUGUGUUCAUUGUUCUUCAAUUAUUGGUGAGGUGAAAAUUUCCAAGUAUGUAUCCCACACUCUAGGCUGCUUCUCGGAACCAUCACGCCGGAGCCCAGAAGGCUGGAGCGUCAGGACGCGGCUGAUGCUGGAGUCUGCACUGGGUGAGGCCUUCUGAACUCCCCCAUGCCUGGGCCUGCACUUGCCUGUUUGCUUCUGUGUUUCAUGUACUCAGCCAUGCACCGUUCUGCAAGUUUGCUGUUGGACUAUUGUUUCCACUCACCUCUGAGCCUGUGUCUCCAUCAGUGAGAUUGGACUGGAAGCACCCAAAACCUCCCCAAGAGGAACCACCCUGCCAGGUUCCCGCCCCAGCACCCUCGCAUGUAGCUGGCUCAGCUGGGCACCGCCCGCCCUCACCUGACACUUCCGCAUCUGCUCGAUGGCUCUAUCCCGCUUCCUGUUAACCAAGUUGAUGUGCGCCUCCUGGUGCAUCUUCAGCUUCGUCCAGGUGGCCAGUGCCUUGGAGUGCCACUUCCUCUCGUCCCCCAGCGCUGCCUUCAUCUCCCGUACCUGGAAUGCCGACAGCUUGGGAAGCUGGACCCACUCAGAGACCCUGCUCUGGCUCUGAACCCAGGUGCCUCUGCAGGAUCUGUGGGGCCUCCAGAAGCCAGUGGGGAUUACUGACUCUGAUAACAAUAAGAAGGUCCCGCUCAAACUGAACUUUCAUGGCCUGCAGGUUGACCUCAAGCUGCAGAUUGGCAUCUUCAGUGUCCCGCAACUUAUCCUCCAGCUCCUCCAUCUGGGUCUCCAUCUCCUCCACCUGCUGCUUCAGAGCCUGCCUGGACUUCAGCUUAUAGACCUGAGCCCCAGAGAGCCCAAGUCAGGAGCAAAGGGACUGGCAGGGACCUGGGACUGCUAGACCCGGAACGUGUGUAUGUGUUGCCCUCUGUGAUGACCCCGCUCGGGCCCCUCCCAAGGCCUGGCUGCCAGGCCCAGCACUCACGCUCUGGCCCUUGGAGAUCCUGAUGUCCUCCAUCUCCAUGCGGAACUGCUUGUUGAGCUGCUCCAGCUCCACCUUCUGCUCCAUUACUUCCUCCAGGGCCUGGGCCAGCGACAGCGCCUUGGUCUCAUUCUCUCGGGCCUCAGCCUUGGCCCAGUCACGCUCCUCUGCACACUUGGCAGAGAUGGUCUUCUCCUCUGCCAGGAGCUGGGAAAGAGGGGCACCAUGAGGCUCAGCCCCACAGGCUCCGAGCUACAGCCCCCAGCAGGGCAGAGCAGCUGGGCCCAAGCUAAUUUUUGUAUUCUUAGUACAGAUGGGGUUUCACCAUGUUGGCCAGGCUUCCCUCAGAUCUUUUGGAAUAAGGAAGCAAUAUGAGUGCACAAAUACAUGGUGUAAAUGGCAGGAAAACCACUUGAUUAUAGAAAAUCUGAAAAACGUGAAAACCCAGUUCCUCCUCAACCCAUGAAGACACCCUCUUCCGCUGGCCUUCUCCCCCAGCCUCUGAACAAGCCAGAGACUAGGGGUCCUCUAAGUGCUGGCCCCACACGACCCCUCCCGCGCAAACUCUCGAGGGAGCCCAGGGUUUCUCUGAUGAGGCCAUCUUGGGCUGAGUGCCGGAAGGAGAGGAAAUGCAAAGGAUGGGGUGAAUGGCUACACACCUGGUCAAACCUCUUCUGCUUCUCCUCCAGGUUGCACACCCUCUGGCACUGGUUGUCCAGCUCCUGCUGCAGCCAUGUCUUGGUAUUCUCCAUCUCCUCGUACCGCUGGCUCAGGCCCUCCAGGUCCUCCCGGACCUGCCCCUUCACCUCCUCUGCGGUUUCCAGGCACCCCACACUGUCAAUUCUCUUCUUCAUGUCGGCCACCUGGGCAGGAGCAAGGAGUAAGCAGAUGCCCGAGAUGGCACACACCUGUCCCUGGGGCAGCUAAGAGCCUGCCUGCCACACUGUGAAAGGGGAACCAGGGAUCUCCAUGCGGGGGAGACAAAUGAAGUUUCUGCAGAAAGGCAUCCAUCUAGUGUGUGAAGCUGCAGGGAGGCUGACUCCUAGGCCCACUGUGGGGACUCCAAGCCCUCAUCCACACCAAGCCUCUCGCUCUCUGGGGGACCACUCCCCGACAGCAAGGCUAGUGCCCUGUGAGGGUGUACACAAGGUCCCCAUCACUCAACCCUUGCAUCUGCAGAUAAACCUGCAACCACAUGCGCUCGAAGGCGACUCCUACCCUGACUUUGGAAUGAACUCCCAGCCCAUCCCGAGGUGGUUCCUUCUGGCCUGCCACGUAAAGGCCUAAGAUAGGAUCUACGACAGUCUAUAGAGAGGACUAGGGACUCCUUCUCAUGACAAUGUUUCAACAGGCAUGAAAUAAACAUAAGGAAUCACCCAGGCAACCAGUAUAGAGAAAUGCAGUUGCCAUCACUCAGGAAGCCAUGUGACCCCAGGUAGCACAUCACAUAGCAAACUCAGCGCAGGCCUGGCAAUCACGAGGACAAAGAGCUCAGCCAUGACCCUGACAGGGUAACUGGCCAUUUCUCCAGGUGACAAGGGCGCAGGGACUGCCAGCACCAUGGCUUGUGACUACGUUCAUAAUGGAAGCAGUGCUACAUUGUAGCUAGACUGGCGAACAUUAAGUGAAAAAUAGCAGUGAAAAUAGUGGUGUCCCCCAUCUAAGUCCACAGACCCGUGGAUUCCUCUCUUAUGGACUCAGGCUAAGAGCACUGACAUAGGACAGCGGGGGGGGGGGUUCCCUAAGAAAGAGGGCAAUGGGCUGGCCCAGCGGUAGGCUGUCCUGCAGUGCCCAGGCCAGCAGCUCUCCUGAUUAUUUAACUGAAAAAAUUCUUUUCAUCCUCCACCUGCUUGAGCUUGGUGCUCAGGCCCAGCUUCUGCCGGUUCUCCUCCUGCAGCAGCUCCUAAUCCCGGGAUGAGAUGAAUGUGGGUGCUCAGGAGAGCAACCUCAUCAUUGUGAGACAGUCACCUUAAGGACCGGCUAAUACAGAAAGGCACUUUAUAUAGAAACAAGAAGUACCAAACCUCAGAGUGCUCAGGUUUCUGAACCCCAGAAACCCCACACCCUACAGAAAAAAAAGGAGCCGGUCCUGCUGAUUCACGGGAUGAUCAUGUAAAGACCUGGUGAAAGCUGGGAGCACGCAGAGACUGCCCCUCCAGGAUGAAAAGGAGAAUGGGCAAUCUGACCAGCUCUAGAGCUAAUAGGCAGAGGGGCCUUCCUAAAGGAGUCCACCUUCCAAGAACCUGAAUUUCCAUGGGAUAUUGAGCAAGUCCAUGUUGGCUGCCAAAUACAAAAUUGUUUUUCAGGAAGAAAAUGUUGCUACUGAGAAAUAGGCUCACUACUAGCUUGUCAGUGAUGUCACCUUUUGUCCGACAUCAUCAAUCAGGCCUCAGUUGGUCAUAAGCUCCAGUGAGUGGUAGCUGGAGUCCAUGACAGCUGAGGCCGGAUUCACAGCGGCAGUCAAAAAUGAUAGUCCCUUGAUAUUCUAGAAGCCCCAAAGACAUCUCUCUUCAAGACAAACAAAUACAUCUUACCACGUGAGGUGACGUCUCCUCCAGAGGCCCCUCGGUCGUACCCUCCUCCGGGUCUUGAACGGGAGCUAGGAGGAAACAGAGAGACAGUCAGUGCACUGGUGCUGCUGAGGAAUCCCACCAGGAGGCUUGGGGGAUGUGGACCGAAGCUGCAGUGUACGGAGCUGCGCUGCCGACAAGCAUGGACUGAGCUGCUCAUGGACCACUCUCCUUGGUGUUGAAGGAAGGCAAAGGACAGGGGCACAAAUGAACCAAAGAGCCUUGGGCUUUCUAGCUAUGGCAACCUCAUCACUGUGAGACAGUCACCUUAAGGACCGGCUAAUACAGAAAGGCACUGUAUAUAGAAACAAGAAGUACAUUAGGGCUGCCUAGAACCGGGGUGCAAGGUUGGGAAAAACAGAGGGGUGUCUACUAACGAGGUUUCUUUGAGGAGGAAUGAAGAGGUUUUGAAAUUAGAUUGUAACAUGCAUGCAUAGCCUAUAAAUAUAGUAAAAACACCAAUCACCCACUCUAAAUGGGUGAAUCGGGUUGCGGGUCAACUACAUCCCAAUGAAGCCAUGUUCAACAGAGAAUACGUACGGUGGUGAUAUUCACAGGCUGCAUCCUCCUGCAGUAAGAGGGAGGAAAAAAACCAUCGUGAGGAUGAGAUCAUACUGGGUCCCGACUGCACGGGUCUUUUAUUCACUUGGUGGUGUUAGAAAACCAGGUAUCAAACAGUGAUCAAGUCACUGAUCCCCAAAUACAGCCUAGAGGAUGCCUGGAGAAAGGGCUGUGGGUUUCUGUCUUUGGUUUUGGACAGAUUCUUGCUCUGUCACCCAGGCUGGAGUGCAGUGGCAUGAUCUCGGCUCACUGCAACCUCAGCUUCCCGGGUUCAAGCAUUUCUCCUGCCUCACUCAGCCUUCCAAGUAGCUGUGACCACAGGCGCCUGCCACCACGCCCGGCUAGUGUUUGCAUUUAUAGUAGAGAUGGGGUUUCAUUAUGUUGGCCCUGUCUGCCUCAGCCUCCCAAAGUGCUGGGAUUCCAUGUGUGAGCCACCCAGGCAGUAGGUUUCCAUGGGAUACUGAGCAAGUCCAUGUUGGCUGCCAAAUACAAAAUUAUUUUUCAGGAAGAAAAUGUUGCUACUGAGAAAUAGGCUCACUACUAGCUUGUCAGUGAUGUCACCUUUUGUCCGACAUCAUCAAUCAGGCCUCAGUUGGUCAUAAGCUCCAGUGACUGGUAGCUGGAAUCCAUGACAGCUGAGGCCGGAUUCACAGCGGCAGUCAAAAAUGAUAGUCCCUUGAUAUUCUAGAUGUCUAGAAUUUUUUUCAAGACAAAGAAAUGCAUCUUACCACGUGAGGUGACGUCUCCUCCCGAGGCCUCUCAGUCGUACCCUCCUCCGGGUCUUGAACGGGAGCUAGGAGGAAACAGAGAGAUAGUCAGUGCACUGGUGCUGCUGAGGAAUCCCACGAGGAAGCUUUGGGGGAUGUGGACCGAAGCUGCAGUGUACGGAGCUGCGCUGCUGACAAGCAUGAACUGAGCUGCUCCUGGACCACUCUUCCUGGUGUUGACAGAAGGCAAAGGAAAAACGAAAGAGCCUUGGGCUUUCUAGCUACGGCAACCUCAUCACUGUGAAACAGUCUGAGAACCGGUUAACACAGAAAGACACUGCAUGGCUCAGCGAGAGCAUCUCAUCAGACCUGCUGCCCACGUGAAGGUCUAUGCGAAUCCCAACAUUUUAUGAAACUUUACAGGAUUAUUUAACUUCUGUGGAUCUGCAUAUCCUGAUACUACAAUUAUCUAUCCUGUUGUAUUUUUAAAAUUGUAGUAAAGCAUACAUAUUUAUUAUUUGAGUUAUUAACUGUGCAUUUUAAUGCACAACAUUCAUGAUGCUGUGUCAAUAAUGAGAAAAAUCUAAAUUCAUAAUCUAGCUUCCACCUUGGGCAAUGAAAGAAAAACAGCAGUGUAAUGUCAAAUAGAGGAAAAACACAUAAUGAUUGCAGAAAUUAAAGGAAUAAAAAACAGGAAAUCGUCAGAGAAAAUCAACAAAACCAAAAACUAGUUCUUUGAAAAGAUCAAAAACAUUGAUAAACCUGUCCCUUUUCUAUCCAGAAAGGAAAAGAAGGAAGUCACGAUGGAUGCUGGAUGCGUAACUGUAAACACAUCUGUGCUCACACUUGGAUACAUUAUAUGAAAUGAGCUAAUUUUCUGGAUCUGUUUCAGAAGGUUAAAAGUCUUCUCAGGAUAAAUGAAUCAUCUGAAUAGGUCUAUAUUUAAUUUAGAAAUUGAAUCAAUAAUUAGUAUCCUCUCAAAAAAAAAAAAACAACAAAACACUACCUUCAGAUGAAUUCACCGGUAAAUUCUACCAAAAUUCUCACAAAGAAAGGUAGUCUUACCAUACAAGCAAGUAACCAUAAUUUUAGCAUUGCCUUAGUUACAUUGUAAAAAUUAUGUUUCCAAACAAGACACAAGAAGGUUUAUACCUGCUGUAUUCAUAAUUGCCCAAACUGAAAGCAAAGGUCUAAGUAUUCGAGACGUCCUUUACUAUCAAAAGUGAACCAAGCCUGGGAAACAUGGUGAAAUCCUGUCUCUACAAAAAAAGUAACAUUAAAAAAAAAAAAUAGCUUGGUAUAACAGCAUGUGCAUUACAGCUAACUGCUUGGGAGGCUGAGGUAGAAGGAUCAGCUGAACAUGGGGAGGUCAAGAUUGCAAUGAGCUGUGAUUGCACCAAUGCACUCCUGGGUGACAAAAUGAGACCUUCUCACAAAAAUAAAGAAACAAAAAGAACCAAACUCUAAGUUGUCAACGUAACUUUCCUUGUGUAGUUGCAUCACCCGUUGAUUAAAUGCAUUUCAAUGGGCACGAACGAAAUAAAUGAAGAACCUGACAUAGCAUUUACUGAGUUUCUCUGAUAUGGGACACUGGAGGAGUAAACUGAAAUUAUUUGCUUCAAUAAACUUAAUGAUAUAAUUUCCACCCUACCUUCAUUUUCUUUGCGGCAAAUUUUUUUACGCCUCCUUUUUGCUGCCCAGCUCCUGGCGCGGCCAGCCAAACCUGCAAGGCAGAAAUGCAUCAUAAUAAAGACAGUGCUUGACAUCUUACUGGCAGAGGACCACGGAGAAAUCAGUAAAAACGUUCUCAGUUUAAACUUUUGAUCCUAGUUUUCACCGACUGCUUUUCAAUGCGACCUGAAUUAGAUCUGGGUUCUAGGAAGAUUUGUUUGUGCAGGCAGAUACCUUUAUUCAGAUGAGACAAUACAGAGAAGCAGAAGUUCCAAGUUACCAAAAAAUAGGCUGGGUUCAAAUCCUACUUAGAAUCUGCACAUACCUGGGAGAGGGAUAUGAACCCAUCUGUGCCUCUCUUCCCUAUUCUCAGAUGUGGAAACAUUAGUAGAUCUAGGCUAUAGACCUAAGGUUAUAGUGUCUAAAAGAAUGAAAUGCAGAUAAAGACUUAAAUAGACUCAUGUUUUUGGAAAUGCCCUAAAAUGUUUAAUCAAUGUCGAGAAGAAUAAUCCAGACACUUGGUAGUGGUUGAAUACAGAGAGGGAGCUUGCAUGUCUCUGCGCAGGGUUAGGAUGGAAAGUGACUUCACAGUUUCUAUGGCCACAUGAUUUCCAGCUCAUGACAGAGAUCUCUGAUUUCCCUGAUCCCCAAGUCAGCCCCAAGGGAUAGGCAGGGAAGGGGCUACAACCCGUAUUUUCAAAUUCAGUGAAUUCAAAUUCAGACAUUUUGAGUGACUUGCCCAGUCACCACAGUGAGGAGUGAUAGGUCUGAGGUAAUCAUGUGGUUGGUUCCCCGGGGAGAGAGAUCCCGGAACACCUGAGUCCUCUAGAUCAUGCCCUGGACCCUGGACCGAGAGCUCUUCUCACAAGCUCUGUGAAAUCCUGCUGCCCCAGUGUUUCUGUGGGAUGGUUGAGGCUAUGGAGAGGUCGCAGGUGGCUUACCGCAGUUACUGACCUACUCUAUUAUCCCUAUGUUGUCACUUUUAGUAGUUUUAUGACCCAUAAGGCAAACAUUUUAAGUCUCAGUUAUGAUGCACGGUCUGAGAUUUUAUCUGAAUCCACUCUUUCCACCAUCAGGUGAUUCUCAUUGGCUGGGCUGGAGCUGGCCUGCCGUAAAAGAGGACACAUGGCAUACCACUGAGCGGCUGUGCGCCCCACUCCUGCGCAUACUCUUGCCUUGCUUCUGCUUUCCCAGCUCUGACAAUCCUAAUUCUGGCUUCCAAACCAAUCCUACUUUUAGGAACAUUUCUGGGCUAAGUGUGCUGGCCCAUGGCUGUAAUCCUGACAGUUUUGGAGGUUAAGGCAGAAGAACUGCUUGAGGUCAGACGUUUGAGACCAACCUGGGCAACACAGUGAGACCUCGUUUCUAGAAAAAAUCUACAAAUUACCAGAUGUGGCGGUGAGCCCUUGUAUCCCUAGCUACAUGGAAGGCUGUUGUGGGAAGAUCGUUUGAGCCUAGAAGAUUGAGGCUGCAGUGAGCUAUGAUCACGCCACUGCCUGGGUGACAAAGCAAGACCCUGUCUUUUCACAAUAAAAAGCAUUACUGUGUCACAAGUAUCCCCAUUUUAUUUCUCAUUAUCUAAUAUUGCUGUUUUCAUCCUGAGGCUUAAUUGCUUUAGUAAGCUAAGAAAAAAAAAAGUUUUUAUUUUUAUUUUUAGAAAGGGUACUAUUUAAAGCAGGUCAUAUGCAUGCCCUUUUGUAAAUUCCAGUUUUAUAUGCCAUAUAUCUAGAAUUUACACUCUUGAUGUACUGAGUCUUCUUCUUAGAACCAGCCUCCUCUUAUGUAACACAGUAUAAUUCCCAUUUUACACCUGACUCGAAACAUUGAGAGGAUAGAAUAAAAUGAAAGAGCAGUCUGUAUACCACGUAAUGCACAAUGAAUCACAAAGCGAAGUUUUCUCCAACUCAAAGGCGACAAGUGCACAGUUAGCGUCCUCUGCAGAACCCAUAGCAAAAUGAAAUUUUGAGAAAAUAUGCACUUUGGCUGCCCAGUGAAGUUAGAAGGAAACUGUCACAGGUCAUCAUCAAGACUUCCCCAACAUUGGCUUUUAUUUUUAAAUAAUGAAAUACACAUGAUUUCGCCUGCUUUCUUCGUGUAUAUUACUGCAUGUUCUCUUUGCUUUUCUGCAUACCCUAUCUUGGGAAUCACUCCAUAGCAAUAAAAAGACAUCUUACUCUUUUUUACAGCUCCAUACUUCUCCUUUAUGUAGAAAUACCAGCUUAUUUUUUUUUUCUUAGAAAUAAACAUUUAAUAAGGACUGAUAAACAGAAGCCAUGUCUGUGUCUUGAGGGGUGGCAAGACAAGAUGGUGGAUCCCUGUGCCAUUACCCCUCACAUCCCUCAGACCGAGGGCGUGUAUACCAUA